RNAcentral lists this ribosomal RNA (253 nucleotides) under uncultured bacterium. RNAcentral's name for it is "partial 16S ribosomal RNA". It matches the Rfam family "Bacterial small subunit ribosomal RNA", at positions 524 to 776 of the family's 1533-position model. The record is from RNAcentral.
UACGGAGGAUUCGAGCGUUAUCCGGAUUUAUUGGGUUUAAAGGGAGCGUAGGCGGGUUGUUAAGUCAGUUGUGAAAGUUUGCGGCUCAACCGUAAAAUUGCAGUUGAUACUGGCAUCCUUGAGUGCAGUAGAGGUAGGCGGAAUUCGUGGUGUAGCGGUGAAAUGCUUAGAUAUCACGAAGAACUCCGAUUGCGAAGGCAGCCUGCUGGACUGUAACUGACGCUGAUGCUCGAAAGUGUGGGUAUCAAACAGG